UUUCUGCAAGCAGGGCCCAGAGUUAGUGGCGUGGCCUGACUUUGAAAGACUCGAAGCUAGUCUGAAGUUUCAUUUGGAGCCUGAUCAGAAAUAGAUUGUGGAUGACAAAAUGAAUCAGCCCCCAAAUUCCAUGCCAGACAGUUCAGCUGACAGAAGGAACUGAAUGUGACAUAGUCUGCAUGCUAUUUCUAGGGAAAUGGAGUUAGAAUUUUUAGAGUACAGAGCAGAGAACCUUCGCCUGUUAAAGUAUUUUGCACGGGAGUGAAACCCUUCAUUGUGUGACUAAAUCAAUGGAGAUUAUCUUCUCAGUUGGAAUUUCCUUUUGUCUGCACGUGUAUUCCGCCAGCACCUGCUCCUACAUUUACUUCAGUCAAUGAGUUCUCAAGUGAAGGACUCGAUUCAAGGAGGAUUCUUUACCACUAGUCCCAGCUGGGAAGGAUUCUUCACCACUGAGCCACCAGGAAAGCCCUUUGGGAGAACCGAGGCCUCAAGAAGCUAAGAAGUCUGCCCAAAGGCUCACAACUAUUAAAGGACAGAGCUAGGAUCUGGCAAAGAGCCCUAAUGUAAUAAGUAUGGUCCUAUGGCUGAACUUCACCCCUGACUCAACUCCCAGGAGAUGUUAGCUUUCAAAGGCCCGGUUCCCAGAAAACCUUCCACCAUCCUGGCAUCUAGGAAGCUGCCUCCGUCUCUUAUACAAAACACUACUGUGCCCACCUGAUCCCACUUUUUUUUUCAGUCUCCAAAAACGUGAUCGUCUCUCAUGAUGCCAAUUAUGCAGAAACAAUGGACUUCUGCUCAAUAGUUAACUAUUCACCAUGUAUGAAAGAAAAUCCUGGAAUGUUUACUUCAAAUAUGAAAGUGCCGGCUCAAAGGAAAACUCUUUUAAUAAUUCUCUGGAGUAGGGGAAGAGUUCUAGAGGAAGCCUUCUUGCAACUUUAACCAAAAUGUCGUGGAUUGUGUAUACGAUAAGAGCAGAAUGUCUUGAUCCCAGGAGAAUACACAGAAACAGAGGAGGUAAUUGGAUUAAUCAUUUUGACACCUGAAAGGAUGACAAGAAACUUUUAACCUACCAAUAAUCAGCGGAGGGAGCUGUCAUUGUAGAUGGCUCAGCCAAACUAUGGGGUAUCAUCACAUUAGCUAACUGCCUGGCCAAUUAGAGACGUGUAAUUCUUUCAUAUACUUAGCUUGAAAGUGAAGAUGAUUCAAAACAGUUUCCUUGUCUCUGACACGUAUCCAAAUUUUUAAUAACAGCUAAGCCC
Long non-coding RNA from Bos taurus (domestic cattle), 1259 nucleotides. NCBI's taxonomy places the organism in Eukaryota, Metazoa, Chordata, Mammalia, Artiodactyla, Bovidae. The record is from Ensembl.